RNAcentral lists this long non-coding RNA (626 nucleotides) under Carica papaya (papaya). RNAcentral describes it as "long non-coding RNA (CPAP_LNC015768)". The record is from RNAcentral. Lineage: Eukaryota; Viridiplantae; Streptophyta; Magnoliopsida; Brassicales; Caricaceae.
AAUGGGAUGUGCCAUUCUGUGCGCACAACACUCACGUCCCUUCUGCACGCUUGAAUGCAUGGGACGUGUGCAAAGUGCGAACAUCCCCUCUACGUGCACAAUGCGGGCUCAGGACCUGCGCGAGUCCUAUCGCGUGCAGGUAGGCUGUCCGUGCAUCCUAUCACGUGUAGGCGAGCCAUUCGUGCAUCUAUUAUGCACAAGUAGGUCGUCCGCGUGUCACCUUGUGGGUGGACAGGCGCCGCAAAUUGUGCGUUCACUGUCCACGCAACAAGCCUACAUGGAUAAGCCCAGUGCGCGUGUGGCUUGAACGCGACAUGAGGCCUAUCGACCUACAGGCUAGCUUUCAGUACAUCAACCAAAACACUGCUACCUCGAGCUGUGCGCCGCCACUACCUUGGGCGGGGUGCCACCGCAGUCGGUGGAGGAGGCCCUCCUCCUUUAUUUUUCGUGCCAAACAUCUUUUUCUCCUCUCUCUUUACCAUAUUUUGCCACUUGGCACGAAUCUAACAGUUCUAAAAGUCUAUAAAUUUCCCUCCCCCUUUUCUUUUUCUCCACACUUCCAUUCUUUAAUUUUUUGAAGGUCUAGAGAUAGAGAGAGACAGAGAGAGGGAUAGUAGUCUAGUGAG